This is a long non-coding RNA of Perca flavescens (yellow perch), 1156 nucleotides long. RefSeq lists it as uncharacterized. The transcript has 3 exons. NCBI's taxonomy places the organism in Eukaryota, Metazoa, Chordata, Actinopteri, Perciformes, Percidae. The record is from RefSeq and is a predicted model, not a curated record.
CAUCAGCAACAGAUCGCAUGUAGAGCAUUUUGACAAGCUGAUAUAUGGCUCUGAUAACAUUUUAUUAAAUCGGACCAGUGUUUCUGGCACUUCCUGGAAACUGCCCGACUUAACAGCGGAUUUUUGUCACCGCCCCCGGCAGCAGCCGCCUGCUCUCGUCCACUUUACAGGGGAGGCACAGUUCAUCUCGAACGAACCUAAUAUAACGUAUGUUACAAAGUGACGCAUGUUCGUCACAGAAGAAAAGGGUGGGCUACAAUAGAGCUGUUUGGAGCAGUUUGUGAAUAGUGUUUUCUGUUGGAGAUGGGUUUCUCCAGCUGAAUCUGCUCCUCCUCCUCUUUAAUGUUACCCACAUCCUGGUAUGGGCCAUGUGCCUGGGAGCGUUCAAUCUGAUCAUAUGUGGAACAACAAUCGUCCAGAUUUAGCCCCUGGGGUAGGAGCAACGUGACUUGGACGAGUAGGCUAUUUCUCACAAGCCUGCCAUGACAUGUUUGACUCAGAGAGGAUGUGACUCAUUUACCUGAUAUAUGUUUUCCUCUUCCUUCAUUGCUUUCUUUUUCUCCAGUUCAUUUAGUCUCUUUGACUGUGAGGGGGAAGCAGACGUUGGUAAAGCUGUGAAAUGGUGCAACUUCUCAUGGAGGAAAGGCAAUAAACAUUAUAAAAAAAAUAUCCAUUUGAGAAACGUAUAGCUGUGGAGUCAAAGCACAAUUGUCUUACAGAUUGCAAUAACUUCUAGUGUGUUGACAUGAAUGAUAUGCCAUUUUAAGACAUUUUUGUAAAUUGCUGCAACAUCAAUGCUAUGAGUCAAGGGGGCGUUGACAGAUCAAUGUAUGGUAAUGUGCAGUCAGUCAUAAUAAAGUGAUUUCUGACCUGGAAGAGAAGGGUGACAGAAGGCACAAGCACACACAGUAGCAGUAAGACUCCCUCAGCUGUCAGGAUCUUGUUUUUGGUGCUUUCGCUGAGGUUUAUUGUCUUCUCCAUUGGUUCUAGGCAUACAGACAGGGUUCAGAGGUGAAACAAACUCAACAAGUGUUUGCAUGUUUUUGCAGUGAGAGUGCACACUUAAAAGAAGCCGAGGUCAGGUUAAUCAGGGUAACCUAAUAUUUACUUAACAUAAUUACUUUUUAUCAAUCUAUUAUGAGAUUGAUUGCUUUGU